Molecule: ribosomal RNA, 855 nt
Filed under: uncultured Bacillota bacterium
Lineage: Bacteria; Bacillati; Bacillota
Description: bacterial SSU rRNA
Rfam family: Bacterial small subunit ribosomal RNA
Source: RNAcentral
CAAGUCGAACGCGAAAGUUCCCUUCGGGGGGCAAGUAGAGUGGCGCACGGGUGAGUAACACGUAGGUAAUCUACCUUUGGAUUGGGAAUAACCACCGGAAACGGUGGCUAAUACCGAAUAAUGCAGCGGCACCUAAUGGUGACAGUUGUUAAAGCGGGGGAUCGUAAGACCUCGCGUCUGAAGAGGAGCCUGCGGCAGAUUAGCUAGUUGGUAAGGUAACGGCUUACCAAGGCGAUGAUCUGUAGCCGGCCUGAGAGGGCGGUCGGCCACACUGACACUGACAUACGGGUCAGACUCCUACGGGAGGCAGCAGUCGGGAAUUUUGGGCAAUGGGCGAAAGCCUGACCCAGCAACGCCGCGUGAAGGAUGAAAUCCUUCGGGAUGUAAACUUCGCAAGAACGGGAAGAAUAAGUAAGAGUUAAUAUCUCUUACGAUGACGGUACUGUUUGUAAGCUCCGGCUAACUCCGUGCCAGCAGCCGCGGUAAUACGGGGGGAGCAAGCGUUGUUCGGAUUUACUGGGCGUAAAGGGCGCGUAGGCGGCCACCGCAAGUCGACUGUGAAAUCUCCGGGCUUAACCCGGAAAGGUCAGCCGAUACUGCGGGGCUAGAGUGCAGAAGGGGCAACUGGAAUUCUCGGUGUAGCGGUGAAAUGCGUAGAUAUCGAGAGGAACACCUGCGGCGAAGGCGGGUUGCUGGGCUGACACUGACGCUGAUGCGCGAAAGCUAGGGGAGCGAACGGGAUUAGAUACCCCGGUAGUCCUAGCCUUAAACGAUGAAUGCUUGGUGUCUGGGGUUUUAUAGUCCCCGGGUGCCGUCGCUAACGCUUUAAGCAUUCCGCCUGGGGAGUACGGUCGC